This 316-nucleotide ribosomal RNA is filed under the name uncultured bacterium. Its description in RNAcentral is "bacterial SSU rRNA". It matches the Rfam family "Bacterial small subunit ribosomal RNA", at positions 28 to 334 of the family's 1533-position model. The record is from RNAcentral.
GAUGAACGCUGGCGGCGUGCCUAAUACAUGCAAGUCGAGCGAAUCUUUAGGAGCUUGCUCCUAUUGGUUAGCGGCGGACGGGUGAGUAACACGUGGGCAACCUACCUAUAAGACUGGGAUAACUUCGGGAAACCGUAGCUAAUACCGGAUAAUCCUUUUCCUCUCAUGAGGAAAAGCUGAAAGACGGUUUACGCUGCCACUUAUAGAUGGGCCCGCGGCGCAUUAGCUAGUUGGUGAGGUAACGGCUCACCAAGGCAACGAUGCGUAGCCGACCUGAGAGGGUGAUCGGCCACACUGGGACUGAGACACGGCCCAG